Manis javanica (Malayan pangolin) is the source of this 3455-nucleotide non-coding RNA. The record is from RefSeq and is a predicted model, not a curated record. NCBI's taxonomy places the organism in Eukaryota, Metazoa, Chordata, Mammalia, Pholidota, Manidae.
GGGCCUGGUUGACCUCUGUGCCUAGUAGGAAUGCAGUGAGGAGGGAAGGCUUCCUAGAGGAGAUGUUAUGCAGGUUGGGCCCUGAAGGAUGAGCUGGAGUUAACCUAGUGGACAAGGAUGGAGGAAGAUGCCCGGAACGGCCAGUAACACUGACUUAGGGUAACUCGAAGUCCAUGGAUUCUUUCAAUGCCUAGAGUCUGAUUCUUUUGAGUGGUUUCUUCUAGAUCAAGAAAAUUUCCUGGAUUCAUAGAAUCUCAAGUUGGACAGAAACUUAAAAUUUCCCAGAGCUGAGUGUGCAUCUCUGCCAAGCUGUUGGGGAGUCUCUGCGUACGUCCCUCUGAUACAGGGCGCUCACUACCGCGUGAGACUGUGAAUUCACGUGAACGGCUCAGUGUGCUAGCAAGUCUUUCUUCUGUUGAGCAGGAGUGUAUUUCCUUAUUUAUUUCACUCACUGAUGCUGAUUUUCUCCCUUGGAUUGAUUUAGGACAAAUUUCCAUCUUUACGGAAUCAUGAGGUUUGUAGGUUUUCCACUGUUAUUCCCCAGGCAGUUAGUGCUUCCAUGUAGCCUCAAGGAGAGAGGCAGUGGCUGGUGCACGCGAUAGAGGGAGGCAGUGCACUGAUGCCCAAAAGUGAGACUCCCAGCCAGACAGCCCCUUAUCGUGUGGCUGUGGCAGGUAAUCUAACCUCUCUGUGCCUCAGUUUCUUCAUCUGCAAGUGGAGAUAAGCACAGUAACCGGUAUCUUUGGGUGGUGAUGAGGAGUAGUUGGCUUAAUGCUUGUGACGUGCUCAGAACAGAACUGGUGCACAGCUCGUACUCUGUGUGACCGGCAGCUGCUAUUAAAAAGGGAUGGUAAUAGCUGCCAGGCCACAGGAAUGGUGUCACAGAACUACUAAGUGAAACUAGGGGAAAAUAGCCAGCGUGGCUUGAUGAGGUAUUAGGCAUUUGCUGGUGAAUGAAAGCCAUCAGCCUCAUUCACAGACUGUCUCCGCUAUUCGCUCACUUUUGUAACCUCUCUGUCAGCCAUUGAGCUGUCACCAAGCCCUCCCUUUGCAUGGAGUCACCCUUUGCUAUUUAAAUAAAAAUACUGCAGGUCUGCGUGGGUCAUGGGCUGCAUAUUUGUGUCACAGCACAGCAGAGUGAACUUCAGUGGAAUGUCACUCACGGCUGCUCUGAAGGUCCUGGGCCACUCCUUCCCGGGGAAAUUCUCACCCACUGUCCUCUUCCCCAGGCCCCCAGGCUCCUCCUCUCCUGGGGCUCUCACACUUCUCCCUCCCAUUGCUUUCUCUGCCCUUUCACCCGGCUCCCUUGGGCUGCCCCCACCCACCACAUACCCACCAAGAGUCAGGAUUCCUUGUCUUUUUUAGAAAAGCAGUUUUUAGCCCUUUACCCACAACUUGGGCUGGGACCUAUUUCUGUAAAUCAAAAACACAAGCGGGAACCAGCAAAGGCCCUGACAUAUCAUUUCCCCUUCACUGUGAUCGAUUUUCCCACGUGGCUCUCUGCCCCCACCAGACUCUGUCAGUAAAGGGAUCCAGGCCACAAUGUAAUCUUUCCCUGAUGUAAAUUAUUCUACACCCCUGACCCCCUUUAAAUGCAGAUAGAGUUACUGUCUUUUAUUUCUUAAAGCUAUUUAAUAUCUUGCCGACUCUGCCUGGAAUGUCUUCCUUCCUUCUCCCUGGCUCCUCAAAUUCAGCCUGCCUGCCUUUAGGAAUGAGUUCCGUGUCUGUUUCCUGCAUGCAGCUUCCCUGAUCACGUGGCUUGGCAUCUUGUGGCAAGGAGCUGACACGUAGCAGAAAUGGGAGCAGUGGGCUUCCCUUCCCUCUGCUGCUCAGACCAAUCUGGAGGCAGCUCUUGGGCACCAGUCUCCUCCCCAGGGCAGCUGCCUGGACCAGACCACCGCCUGAGGCCCGCAGCCCAGAGGAAGGAGGGGCUGUGGCAGGGCAGACACCAGAGCUACGGAUGCGGAUGUGCACAGCCUGGCACAUGGAACCGGCGGGCCUUCUGAAAGGCUGAAGCCUACUCUUGCAUAAAUCACACCAGAAAGGGCUUGAUUCCUUCAUGACUGGUGUCGGCGUGACGAAGGAAGAAUCCUUUCCAUCACGCCAGCUGCCUGUGCCUCAGUGCCUUUUGGAUGCCACCUGCACUGACCCAACUCCCAUUUCCUGCGGGCACUGCUCUCCCUUCACUGUCUCUGACCUCUCCCUUGGUGUCCGGGGAAACUUCUUGAGCUCCCGACUUGAUAAUUGGAAAUUUGAUGUGUUCAUGCCUUUAUUUAGUCCAGUAUUAUGAUUCUUGCUUUUAUAAUCAUGGUUUGAAUGUCCAAGAACUGUCGCUUUUCACCACAACUUAUUAUUCUGUGUAUGUGUGUGAGCAUCUUGACUCUUUCUGAGAAUAUUGUUAUUCUGAAUGUGUCUUCCGUUUCCCCUGUCGGUGCUGUCCCCUGGGUGCUGAUUUUUCCCGCGGGCUUAGGGCCUCUCUUCCACAUCGUUUCUUCGGCUGCCCAGUGGCUUGGGCUGCCUGUUCACAUUUGCGCCGGAGGGUCUCCAUGUGUUUCUCAUGGGCUCCUCACGUCUUGGAUGGUGAUUUUUCUCUGUGUUGCUUUCUCUGUCACCUCAGUCCCUUCUGCUUUCCAUCUGCCAGCAAUUCCUCAAAAUUUCUGGUCUGCUAGCAUCACUCAUCCUACCUCCCUUCUUUUCUCCCUCUCUCCCUCCCUUCCUUCCAGUUUUCAGUCCUGGUUCACAUAGGCCUGCGCCCUCCUCCCCUCCUCCCCCCAAAUCUCCCUCCCCCUCUUCCGCCCCAGCUCCCCCACCCCUCCUUCUUCAGAAGGUAUCAUUUCAGUGAUCACAGGGACUUUGGCUGGGGGAGGACGUGGCUGUGCUCAACCUGGUAUCCCGUUGGCUGGGUCUUUCUGUGGUCCAUGCUAUGAUCCACAAGUUGCAUACCAUUUCCCUCUUUUUGUGGAUGAAGACGCUGAGGGAUGAAAUGACUUCCUUGGAGUUGCACAGUCAGUAGGGGAUGGCUUGAAAUCAUGUCCUUUGACUCCAACUUCAGUCUGUUUUGCUAUUCCUCUUUUCUGAAAUCUCAGGGACCUUUUAAUCUGCUUCCACUGUUCAGAAAUCUUUGUUCACAUCAGCAGUUGGUGUGCAUUUGGGUGCAGAGGGCACCAUGAAACUGUGUGUUUUUGGUGGGAGCUGGCCCAGGAAGACACUGCCGCCUUACUGUGGAAGCAGCGAUGGCCAGGAUUUUCACAUACUUUACAAAUCUGCAUUUAUUUAAAACUAUUCCAGAAUGUGGCUUAUUCAACAGGUCAAAAUGACUUUCUUCCCACAGUAAACUUGAACUAAUGAUGAUUAGACUACAUUGUCUGACUUAUUAAAUUGUUUAUUGAUUUUUUUUCAAGGCAGUCCUAAUAAAGUAAAUAAAGUAGUGUGGUCAAGUUCAUUCAGGGUCUCUA